RNAcentral lists this ribosomal RNA (440 nucleotides) under uncultured bacterium. Its description in RNAcentral is "bacterial SSU rRNA". It matches the Rfam family "Bacterial small subunit ribosomal RNA", at positions 338 to 795 of the family's 1533-position model. The record is from RNAcentral.
CCUACGGGUGGCAGCAGUGGGGAAUAUUGCACAAUGGGGGAAACCCUGAUGCAGCGACGCCGCGUGAGCGAAGAAGUAUUUCGGUAUGUAAAGCUCUAUCAGCAGGGAAGAUGAUGACGGUACCUGACUAAGAAGCCCCGGCUAACUACGUGCCAGCAGCCGCGGUAAUACGUAGGGGGCAAGCGUUAUCCGGAUUUACUGGGUGUAAAGGGAGCGUAGACGGCGAAGCAAGUCUGGUGUGAAAACCCGGGGCUCAACCCCGGGCCUGCAUUGGAAACUGUUUUGCUCGAGUGCCGGAGAGGUAAGCGGAAUUCCUAGUGUAGCGGUGAAAUGCGUAGAUAUUAGGAGGAACACCAGUGGCGAAGGCGGCUUACUGGACGGUAACUGACGUUGAGGCUCGAAAGCGUGGGGAGCAAACAGGAUUAGAUACCCCAGUAGUC